AGACAAGGAUGCCCACUCUUGCCACUUUUAUUCAACAUAGUCCUGGAAAUUCUAGUCACAGCAGAGAACAAAUAAAAGGAAUCCAAAUUAAAAAGGAAGAAGGAAAACUGUCAUUUUUUGCAUACAUAUAAAAUCCUAAAGAUGCCACCAAAAAAAUACUAGAGUUCAAUGAAUUUGAUAAGAGUUGCAGGAUACAAAGUUAAUGCACAGAAAUUUGUCACAUUUCCAUACACUAACAACAAACUAUCAGAAAGAAGAAAAUAAGGAAACAAUGGCAUUUACCAUCACAUUAAAAAGAGUAAAAUAUCUAGGAAUAAGUCUGAGGAGGUGAAAGACCUCCUUGGAAAACAAUAAUACACUAAUUAAAGAAAUUGAAGAUGACACAAAUAGAUGGAAAGAUGUACUGUGUUCUUAUAUUGGAAGAAUUAAUCUUGUUAAAAUAACCAUAGUUCCCAAGGCAAUCUACAGAUUCAACGAAAUCCCUGUCAAAAUACCAUUGGCAUUUUCACAAAACAAGAACAAAAGUUUUUAAUUUGUACAGAAACACAAAAGACUCUGAAUAGCCAAAGCAAUUCUGAGAAAAAAAGAACACAGCUGGAGGGAGAUAUCAUGUUCCCUGACUUCAAAUUAUAGUACAAAGUUACAGUACUCAAAACAGAUGCAUAACAAUGGAACAGAAUAGAAAGUCCUGAAAUAAAUCCAUGAACUUAUGGUCAAUUAACCUAUGACAAAGGAGGCAAGAGUUUACAAUGGAGAAAAGACAGUUUCUUCAAUAAGUGGUGCUGGGAAAACUGGACAGCUACAUGUAAGAGUGAAAUUAGAACAUUUUCUCACACCAUAUACAAAGCUAAACUCAAUAUGAAUUAAAGACCUAAAUGUAAUACCAGAAACCAUACAACUUCUAGGAGAAAAUAUAAGCAGAAUGAUUUGGAUAAAUUAUAGCAACAUUUUUUCAGAUUUGUCUGCUAAGGCCAAGGAAACAGAAGCAAAACAAGCAAGUAGGACCUAAUUAAAGUUAAAAGAUUUUGUAUAGCAGACCAAACAACCUGACUAAAAAAGGAGCAGAACACCUGAACAGACAUUUUUCCAAAGAAGACAUGCAGAUGACCAUCAGGCACAUAAAAAGAUGCUCAACAUCUCUAAUCAGUUCAGUUCAGUCGCUCAGUCGUGUCCGACUCUUUGUGACCCCAUGAAUUGCAGCACGCCAGGCCUCCCUGUCCAUCACCAACUCCCGGAGUUCACUCAGACUCACGUCCAUCGAAUCAGUGAUGCCAUCCAACCAUCUCAUCCUCUGUCAUCCCCUUCUCCUCCUGCCCCCAAUCCCUCCCAGCAUCAGAGUCUUUUCCAAUGAGUCAACUCUUCGCAUGAGGUGGCCAAAGUACUGGAGUUUCAGCUUCAGGGACUGAAAAGGAGGGAUAGAGGAAAAGAGAGACCAGAGAGGUGUGAGGAGAAAUUUUGCUGUCUGCCAUCUCUCAGGAGCUGUGGUUCGCCUGUGCUGAGUUUUAAGCACACAGUUCAUGAGGAGCAGCUGUGG
This is a long non-coding RNA of Bos taurus (domestic cattle), 1534 nucleotides long. The record is from Ensembl. NCBI's taxonomy places the organism in Eukaryota, Metazoa, Chordata, Mammalia, Artiodactyla, Bovidae.